GUCUCUGUGGCGCAAUCAGUUAGCGCGUUAGGCUGUGAACUGAAAGGUUGGUGGUCGAAGCCCACCCAGGGAUG
This 74-nucleotide transfer RNA is filed under the name Danio rerio (zebrafish). It matches the Rfam family "tRNA". Rfam says of the family: Transfer RNA (tRNA) molecules are approximately 80 nucleotides in length. Their secondary structure includes four short double-helical elements and three loops (D, anti-codon, and T loops). Further hydrogen bonds mediate the characteristic L-shaped molecular structure. tRNAs have two regions of fundamental functional importance: the anti-codon, which is responsible for specific mRNA codon recognition, and the 3' end, to which the tRNAs corresponding amino acid is attached (by aminoacyl-tRNA synthetases). tRNAs cope with the degeneracy of the genetic code in two manners: having more than one tRNA (with a specific anti-codon) for a particular amino acid; and 'wobble' base-pairing, i.e. permitting non-standard base-pairing at the 3rd anti-codon position. Lineage: Eukaryota; Metazoa; Chordata; Actinopteri; Cypriniformes; Danionidae. The record is from Rfam by way of RNAcentral.